This 781-nucleotide ribosomal RNA is filed under the name uncultured bacterium. RNAcentral describes it as "bacterial SSU rRNA". It matches the Rfam family "Bacterial small subunit ribosomal RNA", at positions 62 to 820 of the family's 1533-position model. The record is from RNAcentral.
UCGAACGCGAAAGGGGGUUUCGGCCCCCGAGUAGAGUGGCGGACGGGUGAGUAACACGUGGGUAAUCUGCCUUUGGGUGGGGAAUAACGUUCCGAAAGGGACGCUAAUACCGCAUAAAGCAGCGGCACCGCAUGGUGACUAGUUGUUAAAGUGGGGGAUCUUCGGACCUCACGCCUAAAGAGGAGCCCGCGCCCGAUUAGCUAGUUGGUGGGGUAAUGGCUCACCAAGGCGACGAUCGGUAGCCGGCCUGAGAGGGCGGUCGGCCACACUGGCACUGAGAUACGGGCCAGACUCCUACGGGAGGCAGCAGUGGGGAAUUUUGGGCAAUGGGCGAAAGCCUGACCCAGCAACGCCGCGUGAAGGACGAAAUCCCUUCGGGAUGUAAACUUCAAAAGUUGGGGAAGAAAUGCCUGAGGCGAAUACCCUUGGGAGAUGACGGUACCCAACGUAAGCCCCGGCUAACUACGUGCCAGCAGCCGCGGUAAUACGUAGGGGGCAAGCGUUGUUCGGAAUUACUGGGCGUAAAGGGCGCGUAGGCGGCACGGCAAGUCAGGAGUGAAAGCCCUGGGCUCAACCCGGGAACUGCUUUUGAAACUGCCGAGCUAGAGUGCGGAAGGGGCAACUGGAAUUCCCAGUGUAGCGGUGAAAUGCGUAGAUAUUGGGAAGAACACCUGAGGCGAAGGCGGGUUGCUGGGCCGACACUGACGCUGAUGCGCGAAAGCCAGGGGAGCGAACGGGAUUAGAUACCCCGGUAGUCCUGGCCCUAACGAUGGAUACUUGG